UGGGGAAUAUUGGGCAAUGGGGGAAACCCUGACCCAGCAACGCCGCGUGAAGGAAGAAGGCCUCGGGUUGGUAACAUUCUUUUCUCCAGGAGCGAAGACGUGACGGUACCUGGAGAAAAAGCAACGGCUAACUACGUGCCAGCAGCCGCGGUAAUACGUAGGUUGCGAGCGUUGUCCGGAUUUACUGGGUGUAAAGGGCGUGUAGGCGGAGAAGCAAGUUGGGAGUGAAAUCUAUGGGCUCAACCCAUAAACUGCUCUCAAAACUGUUUCCCUUGAGUAUCGGAGAGGCAAGCGGAAUUCCUAGUGUAGCGGUGAAAUGCGUAGAUAUUAGGAGGAACACCAGUGGCGAAGGCGGCUUGCUGGACGACAACUGACGCUGAGGCGCGAAAGCGUGGGGAGCAAACAGGAUUAGAUACC
This 417-nucleotide ribosomal RNA is filed under the name uncultured bacterium. RNAcentral describes it as "bacterial SSU rRNA". It matches the Rfam family "Bacterial small subunit ribosomal RNA", at positions 355 to 786 of the family's 1533-position model. The record is from RNAcentral.